Molecule: ribosomal RNA, 486 nt
Filed under: uncultured bacterium
Lineage: Bacteria
Description: partial 16S ribosomal RNA
Rfam family: Bacterial small subunit ribosomal RNA
Source: RNAcentral
AUUGAACGCUGGCGGCAUGCCUUACACAUGCAAGUCGAACGGCAGCACGGGUGCUUGCACCUGGUGGCGAGUGGCGAACGGGUGAGUAAUACAUCGGAACAUGUCCUGUAGUGGGGGAUAGCCCGGCGAAAGCCGGAUUAAUACCGCAUACGAUCUACGGAUGAAAGCGGGGGACCUUCGGGCCUCGCGCUAUAGGGUUGGCAGAUGGCUGAUUAGCUAGUUGGUGGGGUAAAGGCCUACCAAGGCGACGAUCAGUAGCUGGGCUGAGAGGACGACCAGCCACACUGGAACUGAGACACGGCCCAGACUCCUACGGGAGGCAGCAGUGGGGAAUGUUGGACAAUGGGCGAAAGCCUGAUCCAGCAAUGCCGCGUGUGUGAAGAAGGCCUUCGGGUUGUAAAGCACUUUUGUCCGGAAAGAAAUCCUUGGCUCUAAUACAGUCGGGGGAUGACGGUACCGGAAGAAUAAGCACCGGCUAACUACGUG